This 718-nucleotide long non-coding RNA is filed under the name Piliocolobus tephrosceles (Ugandan red Colobus). Its description in RNAcentral is "lncRNA (ENSPTEG00000004509.1)". The record is from RNAcentral. Lineage: Eukaryota; Metazoa; Chordata; Mammalia; Primates; Cercopithecidae.
AGAAGCUGAUUUUUUUACCCUUUUUUUCCUUUAUCUUAUUUUAUUAAUCUCCCUUUUUUUAUUAAUUUUACCAUAUUUUAGCUCAACAUAAUUUAUUUUAUUUUGCUUAUUUGAUUACUCUGUUUUUAGCUAGUUAAAAAAAAAAUAAAUAAAUAAAAAUAAAAAUAAGGAAUAACCCUUACGUUUUAAUUUGAAAUGUUGGUUAGCCAUUUUUUUUUUUUUUUUUGAUUCAAAAAACAAUAUUUAAAAAAAAAAAAAAAACCAAGUGCCUUAUUAUUAUAUAUAUUUUUUUUUAUAUAAAACAUUUUUAUAUAUUAUUUUUUAAUAUUUAAUAAUGCUAAUAAAAUAAUAAACUACUUUUCAUGAUUUCUAGGUUUGUUGUUUCUUUUUGUGUCAUUUUAUUUUUACAUUUAUUAUGUAUAUAUAUUAAGAUUUUAUUGAAUUUGUUAUACAGAAAUGAGUAAUAUAUUAAAUCACUUCCGUGUUUUAAAGGUAGUUACUGAAGAUAAUCCGUUAGUGACAUUUAAUUUAUUUGUAGCUAGUACGAAAGAUAAUACGAAUAAUGAUGGAUCAUGUAGUGAAAUAUUAUGUGUUGCUGUACUUGAUAAUAUAAUUAAUGGAGAACAUUUAAGAAAAUUUAUGACUAACUUUGGAGAUGUCGUUUUUUUUUAAUAUUACUGAGAAUGAAAAUUUAUCAAUAAACUUAAAAAUAUUUGCA